Molecule: ribosomal RNA, 404 nt
Filed under: Rhodotus reticeps
Lineage: Eukaryota; Fungi; Basidiomycota; Agaricomycetes; Agaricales; Physalacriaceae
Description: Lentinula reticeps partial large subunit ribosomal RNA
Rfam family: Eukaryotic large subunit ribosomal RNA
Source: RNAcentral
GAGAUCCCGUCUUUGACACGGACUCCCAGUGCAUUGUGGUACGCUCUCAAAGAGUCGUGUUGUUUGGGAAUGCAGCACUAAAUGGGUGGUAAAUUCCAUCUAAAGCUAAAUAUUGGCGAGAGACCGAUAGCAAACAAGUACCGUGAGGGAAAGAUGAAAAGAACUUUGGAAAGAGAGUUAAACAGUACGUGAAAUUGUUGAAAGGGAAACGCUUAAAGUCCAGUCGCGUCUUCUGGGAAUCAGUCUUGCUUCUGCAUGAUGUACUUUCUAGUCGACGGGUCAGCAUCAGUUUUGACCGGUGGACAAGAGUUGGAGGAAUGUGGCACCUUCGGGUGUGUUAUAGCCUCUGAUUGUAUACGCCGGUUGGGACUGAGGAACUCAGCACGCCGCAAGGCCGGGUCUUU